RNAcentral lists this ribosomal RNA (609 nucleotides) under Pseudovibrio sp. WH009046s. RNAcentral's name for it is "bacterial SSU rRNA". It matches the Rfam family "Bacterial small subunit ribosomal RNA", at positions 196 to 825 of the family's 1533-position model. The record is from RNAcentral. Lineage: Bacteria; Pseudomonadati; Pseudomonadota; Alphaproteobacteria; Hyphomicrobiales; Stappiaceae.
AUGGGGGAAAGAUUUAUCGCCAUGAGAUGUGCCCGCGUUAGAUUAGCUAGUUGGUAAGGUAAUGGCUUACCAAGGCGACGAUCUAUAGCUGGUCUGAGAGGAUGAUCAGCCACACUGGGACUGAGACACGGCCCAGACUCCUACGGGAGGCAGCAGUGGGGAAUAUUGGACAAUGGGGGCAACCCUGAUCCAGCCAUGCCGCGUGUGUGAUGACGGCCUUAGGGUUGUAAAGCACUUUCAGCAGUGAAGAUAANGACAUUAACUGCAGAAGAAGCCCCGGCUAANUUNNUGCCAGCAGCCGCGGUAAUACGAAGGGGGCUAGCGUUGUUCGGAAUCACUGGGCGUAAAGAGUACGUAGGCGGACUGAUAAGUUAGGGGUGAAAUCCCAAGGCUCAACCUUGGAACUGCCUUUGAUACUGUCAGUCUUGAGAUCGAGAGANGUGAGUGGAACUCCGAGUGUAGAGGUGAAAUUCGUAGAUAUUCGGAAGAACACCAGUGGCGAAGGCGGCUCACUGGCUCGAUACUGACGCUGAGGUACNAAAGCGUGNGGAGCAAACAGGAUUAGAUACCCUGGUAGUCNACGCCGUANACGANGAAUGCUANUUGUCA